AUGACACGGAGGAGGAAAGUGAAUGCCUUUUCUGUCCUGCUGUGUGAAUGGCAGGCUGUGAGGGCCAAAUCCUGCCGCCCGCCCUGGGGAAGGGCCUUCUCAUUUUUCUCACCUGUUCUGGAGCCCUGGAAGGCCGGUGGAGUGAAGCUGAUGCCAGGACCCUGUGAGGAGAGACCUUCUGGAAGAUUCUGCUGUCAGAAAAUAAGUCGGGAGUCAAGAAUUGCUGUCUCGAUCCAGCUCUGUGAGGUUGCUUAACCUCUCUGAGCCCUGAUUACAAAAUAUGACGGCCGUGGUGAAACCUGACAUUUGCUAGGAUCCCUCUAAUUAUACCCUGUGUAUCUUUGAUUUUCUGUGAGCUUCGGAGCCAGCCACCUUCAGGAGUCAGGGCAAUGGCUGUGAAAGGACAGCCCCUCUUCCUGUGGGGAAUGGUGGCUGGCGAGUCCACAGAGCCUCUCAGCCACAGGAUGGGCUCAUGCCAGUGCGCUCCUAGCCCUCCCUUGCCGUGUGCCUGGGUGGGGCGGGAGGGGCGUCAGCUCCUCAGGUCCGUGCUUCAUUCCCCUUGGCCUCCCCCUCUGUCUCUGCCUUGAUCCUCCUCAGCCUCUCCCGCAGGAGCCACCGACAGGCAUGUCCCAUUCUGCAGCCAGUUCUGACCAAGGCAGGAAAUGGAUGUGGAGCCUCAGCCUGCCACUGGAGGGAUGAGGGGGCUGGAAUUCGGUCUCAUGGUUUCAAUCAGUAACAAUCGUGCCUUGGGUAAACCUCAGAGGCGACGGUGCUACCACCGCUCAAAGCUGAUAGUAAGUAGCGUUCUUCAGAUGUGGGAUCCAGACGCUUAGGCACGAUUUGCAGGCUCCUGGGGGCCUUCCUUCUGCUCUCGGUCUCCUUUGCUCAAAUCCGAAUGAGGACUGGGUGUGUCCGAGGCAGCCGGGCAGCCUGCAACUUUCAGAAUUUCCUAUGCAUCCCCAUCCCCCAGUGGCGUCAGCAGCAGAUUCCCAAAUCCACAAUCUGACCGAAGUCUUGUCUAAUAUCCAGACCCUACUUCCUCUUCCUUGAGGCUUGGGGCCGCCACAGGGCUCGGCAGCAUGCUGGGCAGGGUCCUGUUGGGGAUGGACAGCCUGGGGAUCCCACUGGCGCCUGGACUCUGCCGGUGUCUCCUUUCCUCAGGCCCUUAGUCCUCACCCACAGGAAUCACCCCUGAGCUUGCCUUGCAUGGCUUAGUGCCCUCCCUAGAGUGUCCUCCAAGGCUGAACAAGCAGCCCAGAGUCCCAACACGCUUGGCUCCUUAAGCCUGCUUCUUUCAUGCCCUGGAAAAGCAAGAGCAGACCAAUAAAUGCCUUUUGAAAGAAU
RNAcentral lists this long non-coding RNA (1344 nucleotides) under Ursus maritimus (polar bear). Its description in RNAcentral is "lncRNA (ENSUMAG00000013155.1)". Lineage: Eukaryota; Metazoa; Chordata; Mammalia; Carnivora; Ursidae. The record is from RNAcentral.